This 1056-nucleotide ribosomal RNA is filed under the name uncultured bacterium. RNAcentral describes it as "bacterial SSU rRNA". It matches the Rfam family "Bacterial small subunit ribosomal RNA", at positions 336 to 1393 of the family's 1533-position model. The record is from RNAcentral.
CUCCUACGGGAGGCAGCAGUGAGGAAUAUUGGUCAAUGGGCGAGAGCCUGAACCAGCCAAGUAGCGUGAAGGAUGACUGCCCUAUGGGUUGUAAACUUCUUUUAUAAAGGAAUAAAGUCGGGUAUGCAUACCCGUUUGCAUGUACUUUAUGAAUAAGGAUCGGCUAACUCCGUGCCAGCAGCCGCGGUAAUACGGAGGAUCCGAGCGUUAUCCGGAUUUAUUGGGUUUAAAGGGAGCGUAGAUGGAUGUUUAAGUCAGUUGUGAAAGUUUGCGGCUCAACCGUAAAAUUGCAGUUGAUACUGGAUAUCUUGAGUGCAGUUGAGGCAGGCGGAAUUCGUGGUGUAGCGGUGAAAUGCUUAGAUAUCACGAAGAACUCCGAUUGCGAAGGCAGCUCACUGGAGCGCAACUGACGCUGAAGCUCGAAAGUGCGGGUAUCGAACAGGAUUAGAUACCCUGGUAGUCCGCACGGUAAACGAUGGAUGCCCGCUGUUGGUCUGAAUAGGUCAGCGGCCAAGCGAAAGCAUUAAGCAUCCCACCUGGGGAGUACGCCGGCAACGGUGAAACUCAAAGGAAUUGACGGGGGCCCGCACAAGCGGAGGAACAUGUGGUUUAAUUCGAUGAUACGCGAGGAACCUUACCCGGGCUUGAAUUGCAGAGGAAGGAUUUGGAGACAAUGACGCCCUUCGGGGCCUCUGUGAAGGUGCUGCAUGGUUGUCGUCAGCUCGUGCCGUGAGGUGUCGGCUUAAGUGCCAUAACGAGCGCAACCCCUCUCCUUAGUUGCCAUCAGGUCAUGCUGGGCACUCUGGGGACACUGCCACCGUAAGGUGUGAGGAAGGUGGGGAUGACGUCAAAUCAGCACGGCCCUUACGUCCGGGGCUACACACGUGUUACAAUGGCAGGUACAGAGAGAUGGUCCCUUGCAAAAUGGAUCAAAUCCUUAAAGCCUGUCUCAGUUCGGACUGGGGUCUGCAACCCGACCCCACGAAGCUGGAUUCGCUAGUAAUCGCGCAUCAGCCAUGGCGCGGUGAAUACGUUCCCGGGCCUUGUACACACCGC